This is a long non-coding RNA of Helianthus annuus (common sunflower), 537 nucleotides long. RefSeq lists it as uncharacterized. Lineage: Eukaryota; Viridiplantae; Streptophyta; Magnoliopsida; Asterales; Asteraceae. The transcript is spliced from 2 exons. The record is from RefSeq and is a predicted model, not a curated record.
GCUUUUUGGCAGAGCUAGCAAAAACUCAAAUAUGAAACUCUUUCUUCCAAUAUAUUUCUCUUAACCCAACCCAGAUACCCAUCGUUGCACCUCCAUACCCGCCACCGUGACGUCGCCGGCACGGCCACCGCCACCACCAUCGUCACUGUCACUGUCACCGCCACGUCUCCACUGCAGCCUCCAAAACGAUACAUCAUCUCAUCUUUUUUUCUUCUCCUCAGUCGAGAUCCAUGGUCGCCGGAGGGUCGUAACCCUAAACGCCGCUCGAAACCUGGUCUAGAUUGAGACAUGCAGACUCUUCGUAUGCCUCGUAUUGGUCGGGAACGCAGCCGCAUGGCCCCUCGAGGUCCACCGCCGCUGGGUCGUCGUUUUAAAGUGGUGGUUGCACCGGUGAAAAUGGGGACAGUUGCUUGAAGGUUUUGUGAUGAUUGGCAGUUAAUUUUUUCAAACGGUGCGUCAGACGCUUUAGGGUUGUGUAGUAUUUAUGUAUCUGUGGUUAAAUUUUUUUGAAACGGUGCUUCAUGUGGUAACCGAACC